GCUUUCUGUGCUCUGCUGAGCUUUCACUGAGAAAAUGUCUGAAGUGUGAGGCUGGAGGUUUCUCAGAAAGGUUUCCACAUAAAUUCAAUUGCCACUUCCUGAAUGACUCUUGCCAAUCUGGAACUUCUCUUGCAGGCCAGUGCAGUGCUGCAAAACUUGGCUGCCAGGUUAGGAACGUGUCUGUCUUGGCUGCUUGUAAAUACUCUAUUGUGUUAAUUUGUAUUAUAGCGAUGGGACACUUUGCUUAAUUUUAGUAUGUUGCAUAUAAUGUUGGGAAACAAAAAAUCUCAAAGUUGCUUCUUGUGUUACUGAGCUGACUGUGAUGAAGGCAAGUAGGAAAUGACAGGAGCCAGAAGGGUGCUGAGCCUCUGUUUUAGGGGAGGGAGGGAGGCAGUCAAGUUCCCUCUCAACACCACUGUGACACAGAGACAGACCCUGAGGUCCCCCAGGCCCUUCGCUGCAAGUGGCGAUUCCUGCUACCAAGACUGGAACCUUGUUUUUACAAGUCAGAAAGUCAAAUAUCUUUGUGCCAUAAAACCUUACUCUCACGGCUGUGCUAGGUGCUCCCAUGAUCCGUGCAGGUUCCCCUCCUGUGUGUGUGGUCCAGGGAAAGGAACUGUCAAAUGGAUUGUAAUCAAGAAAUAAGUUACUUCAUGAAAUUUGAAAUAAGAUUAGUUUGGUUAUUUGUAUGAAUUUAAUGGAAUUUGGCCUUUUUAUUACCUUCUGCUUGACUCUGUGUUCCCUCUGCUUGGAUUCCGUCUGUGAGUGUCGGUGUAAGGCCUUGACGUGUUCAGCCUCGUUACAAGCAUCACAAGAGUGAAGCCAAUCAUCCAGUUGACUUCUGGAGGAACCUGACUGUUGAAAAACAACUCUAAAGUUACCGUUUUUAGCAAAUCUGCUGUCAUUAAAUGUGUAUUUCUUUUUAAAAUGAAUUUGCUUGUCCUUCUUGGAAGGAAGCACUUAUUCUUGCAGUUUGGGCAAAUUCACUGCAGCACAAUGUAAGCUGUAAGGGGACAGGUAGAGAAAUGACUUUUUAAAUAUUGUAUAAUAAAGUUAGUAUUAACUCCUAUGGCGUUAUUAUU
Molecule: long non-coding RNA, 1082 nt
Filed under: Manacus vitellinus (golden-collared manakin)
Lineage: Eukaryota; Metazoa; Chordata; Aves; Passeriformes; Pipridae
Description: lncRNA (ENSMVIG00005011156.1)
Source: RNAcentral